RNAcentral lists this ribosomal RNA (233 nucleotides) under uncultured bacterium. RNAcentral's name for it is "partial 16S ribosomal RNA". It matches the Rfam family "Bacterial small subunit ribosomal RNA", at positions 338 to 587 of the family's 1533-position model. The record is from RNAcentral.
CCUACGGGAGGCAGCAGUGGGGAAUAUUGCACAAUGGGGGGAACCCUGAUGCAGCGACGCCGCGUGGGUGAAGGAGUACUUCGGUACGUAAAGCCCUAUCGGCAGGGAAGAAGCAAGACGGUACCUGACUAAGAAGCACCGGCUAACUACGUGCCAGCAGCCGCGGGAAUACGUAGGGGGCGGGCGUUAUCCGGAUUCACUGGGUGUAAAGGGAGCGUAGACGGCCAAGCAAG